ACAACCUAAUAAAAGCCUUAAUUAGGGGACACAUGUCCACCUCCUAGGGCCUCUAAAUCUCAUUUUCCCGCCAAAAAGUUCAUUCUCCUCAUUUCCCUUGAAUAACCCGACACGGGAUCCAGCAACGAAUUCGGGUCCUCAUUAUUCGGACCAUAUUUAAUAGAACAAACUGAUCAACUUUUCCAUUCACCUUUCUUUUCUUAUACUCUUUGUGAUUUUAGGGUUUUUUUACCUUUCUAUCGUUCGAUUCUUCAUCAGAUCUAAUAACGAUUCUUGAAACAUCGACGGUAUGUAUGUUAUUCCUCUAAUACGUAAUCUUUGAAUCUGUAAUUUUAUUUGUUCUUAUUACUGAUUUUAGGGUUUUUUUCCUUUCUAUUGUUGGAUUCUUCAUCAGCUCUUAUACCGAUUCUUCGAACAUCGACGCUCUUAUACCGAUUCUUCGAACAUCGACGGUUUUGAAUAUGACGGAAAGUUCAUCAAGCAUGUGCCACCUUUUGUACAUCCAUCAAAGUUAUCAAAUCCAUUUGAUCUCAACGAAUUACCUUCAGUUCAAGCUGUAACAGAUAGGUGGCAGCGAUUUGGAGAUGAGAUUUUGAUUUUGGUGGAAAAAUGUUAUGGUGAAUAGUUUUUAUUUGGUGGACCUACUCUGUGUUUACACAAAUGGCUGAACACAAACCCUAAACUUCAUCUUCAUCGCCAUUUCGACUACCUUUCUAUCCACAAUGGAAUAAGGUUUGUUAAUCACCUGAGUUUGAUCAGGGAUAAAGAAGUCGUUGUAAAUGAUUAGCAGGGCACAAUGAUCGUAGAAGAAAGUUAACAACUUUAUUCGCCCUGUUUUUGGUUAGAUGUCAAAGAUUCAUAAUUGCUUUUGUUUCCAAAAUGGAUUAGUUUGGU
Molecule: long non-coding RNA, 894 nt
Filed under: Helianthus annuus (common sunflower)
Lineage: Eukaryota; Viridiplantae; Streptophyta; Magnoliopsida; Asterales; Asteraceae
Description: hypothetical non coding rna
Source: RNAcentral